RNAcentral lists this ribosomal RNA (450 nucleotides) under uncultured bacterium. RNAcentral's name for it is "bacterial SSU rRNA". It matches the Rfam family "Bacterial small subunit ribosomal RNA", at positions 29 to 526 of the family's 1533-position model. The record is from RNAcentral.
AACGAACGCUGGCGGCAGGCUUAAUACAUGCAAGUCGAGCGCGUAGCAAUACGAGCGGCAGACGGGUGAGUAACGCGUGGGAAUCUACCCAGCUCUACGGAAUAACCCAGGGAAACUUGGGCUAAUACCGUAUACGUCCGAUAGGAGAAAGAUUUAUCGGAGAUGGAUGAGCCCGCGUUGGAUUAGCUAGUUGGUGGGGUAAAGGCCUACCAAGGCGACGAUCCAUAGCUGGUCUGAGAGGAUGAUCAGCCACACUGGGACUGAGACACGGCCCAAACUCCUACGGGAGGCAGCAGUAGGGAAUAUUGGACAAUGGGCGAAAGCCUGAUCCAGCCAUGCCGCGUGAGUGAUGAAGGCCCUAGGGUUGUAAAGCUCUUUCACCGAUGAAGAUAAUGACGGUAACCGGAGAAGAAGCCCCGGCUAACUUCGUGCCAGCAGCCGCCGUAACAC